GACGAACGCUGGCGGCGUGCUUAACACAUGCAAGUCGAACGGUGAAGCGCCUUCCUUUUUGGUGGGUGUGGAUGAGUGGCGAACGGGUGAGUAACACGUGAGUAACCUGCCCCCUUCUUCUGGAUAACCGCAUGAAAGUGUGGCUAAUACGGGAUAUUCUGGGUCUGUCGCAUGAUGGGUCUGGGAAAGAUAUUGUUUCGGUGGGGGAUGGGCUCGCGGCCUAUCAGCUUGUUAGUGGGGUGAUGGCCUACCAAGGCGGUGACGGGUAGCCGGCCUGAGAGGGUGGACGGUCACAAUGGGACUGAGACACGGCCCAGACUCCUACGGGAGGCAGCAGUGGGGAAUAUUGCACAAUGGGCGCAAGCCUGAUGCAGCGACGCCGCGUGAGGGAUGGAGGCCUUCGGGUUGUGAACCUCUUUCGCCAGUGAAGCAGGCCUGCCUCGUUUGUGGGUGGGUUGACGGUAGCUGGAUAAGAAGCGCCGGCUAACUACGUG
RNAcentral lists this ribosomal RNA (494 nucleotides) under uncultured bacterium. RNAcentral's name for it is "partial 16S ribosomal RNA". It matches the Rfam family "Bacterial small subunit ribosomal RNA", at positions 28 to 507 of the family's 1533-position model. The record is from RNAcentral.